AUAGUGUUCAUAGUCAGGACAAGAUGGCCGCUCGAGUAUUGCUUGUUGCCCUUAUCGUCCUUGGGUGCGGUUUUGCCCUGAGCCAGCUGCUGACGCCAUUCAUGGUGUGUGAGAUCCAAGAGUUGCACAAGCGAAAUCUGACGUCACUUCCGUUUUCCCACCCGGAAAUGGUGGAAAUAAGGGAAUACUGUUCAAAACACACGUAUGACCACCUUCCAGGAAACAUCGGGACUUUGGGAAAAUAGUGUUCAGUCCAUGAUUUUGAAGUGUUGUAAAUGGUACUAAACCAAAUAAAGAUACUUACUGGUCGAA
Long non-coding RNA from Mya arenaria, 312 nucleotides. RefSeq lists it as uncharacterized. The transcript is spliced from 3 exons. The record is from RefSeq and is a predicted model, not a curated record. NCBI's taxonomy places the organism in Eukaryota, Metazoa, Mollusca, Bivalvia, Myida, Myidae.